Molecule: ribosomal RNA, 1506 nt
Filed under: uncultured prokaryote
Description: partial 16S ribosomal RNA
Rfam family: Bacterial small subunit ribosomal RNA
Source: RNAcentral
AGAGUUUGAUCCUGGCUCAGAACGAACGCUGGCGGCGUGGAUUAGGCAUGCAAGUCGAACGAUAAAGGUUCCUUCGGGGACUGAUUAAAGUGGCGAACGGGUGAGUAACAGGUGGGUAACGUGCCCCGAAGCGGGGGAUAACGCCGAGAAAUCGGUGCUAAUACCGCAUACGGCCGUUUGGACCAAGGUCCGAACGGCGAAAGACUUCGGUCACUUCGGGAUCGGCCCGUCUCCGAUUAGCUUGUUGGUGAGGUAACGGCUCACCAAGGCGACGAUCGGUAGCUGGUCUGAGAGGAUGGUCAGCCACACUGGGACUGAGAUACGGCCCAGACUCCUACGGGAGGCAGCAGUCUAGAGGCUUCGGCAAUGGGGGAAACCCUGACCGAGCGACGCCGCGUGCGGGAUUGAAGGCGUUCGGGUCGUAAACCGCUGUCAGGAGGGAAGAAUGCCCGGAUGGUGAAUUGGGGAGAGACGGUACCUGCAGAGGAAGCCCCGGCUAACUCCGUGCCAGCAGCCGCGGUAAUACGGAGGGGGCAAACGUUGUUCGGAUUUACUGGGCGUAAAGGGUGCGUAGGCGGUCGCGCAAGUCUGAUGUGAAAUCUUCGCCGCUCAACGGGAAGAGGUCAUUGGAAACUGCGUAGCUCGAGUCCGGUAGAGGAGAAUGGAAUUCCCGGUGUAGCGGUGAAAUGCGCAGAUAUCGGGAGGAACACCAGUAGCGAAGGCGGUUCUCUGGGCCGGCACUGACGCUGAGGAGCGAAAGCGUGGGUAGCAAACAGGAUUAGAUACCCUGGUAGUCCACGCCGUAAACGUUGGAUACUAGGUGUGGCGUCCCGAUUAACGGUCGCCGUGCCGAAGCUAACGCAUUAAGUAUCCCGCCUGGGGAGUACGGCCGCAAGGCUAAAACUCAAAGGAAUUGACGGGUCCCCGCACAAGCGGCGGAGCAUGCGGCUUAAUUCGAUUCAACCCGAAGAACCUUACCUGGGUUUGACAUCACGGGAAAAGCUGUAGAAAUACAGUGUCCAUUAGGGCGCGUGACAGGUGGUGCAUGGCUGUCGUCAGCUCGUGUCGUGAGAUGUUGGGUUAAGUCCCGCAACGAGCGCAACCCUUAUCCUACGUUGCCAGCGGUUCGGCCGGGGACUCAUAGGAGACUGCCGGGGAUAACUCGGAGGAAGGUGAGGACGACGUCAAGUCAUCAUGCCCCUUAUAUCCAGGGCUGCACGCAUGCUACAAUGGUCGGUACAACGGGCAGCGAUCCUGCGAAGGUGAGCAAAUCCCUCAAAGCCGGCCUCAGUUCGGAUUGGAGUCUGCAACUCGACUCCAUGAAGGCGGAGUCGCUAGUAAUCGUGGAUCAGCAAAGCCGCGGUGAAUGCGUUCUCGGGGAUUGUACACACCGCCCGUCACGUCACGGAAGUCGGCAACACCCAAAGUCAGUGGCCUAACCCUUCGGGGAGGGAGCUGCCUAAGGUGGGGUCGGUAACUGGGACGAAGUCGUAACAAGGUAGCCGU